GGACUGGGUUCUUCAGUCACUCCCUGAAUCAUAUGAUAAGUUCAUUAGAGAGUAUCAUAUGAUGAAACUUGACGCAACCCUCAUUGACUUGACUUAUAUGCUUAUUGCUGCUGAAUCAGAAAUGAUUUGGCGAAGUAAUGGAGCAUAUUUGUCUGAUAACUCAACCAACCAUGCUUCCAUGGACACCACCUGUUCCUGCUGCCAAGGGAAGGGGCAAUGGAUACGAAGCUGCCCGAAGGACCUGAAGAAUCUAAGAGAUAGGAGAGUCGAUAAGUAUGGCUCUACUUCAGGUAUAAAAUCCACUAUCUAACUCCAUUUAAAUUCCUAUUCUUUAUUCAUAAUGUGAUAAGAUUACAUUUGCAUGUUUUGCAGGAUUAGAGAAAAGAGAGGAAGUUUGAUGGAAGAGCAAGAUGAGUCUGAUCACGAAGAAAUGGAUUUCGAUCGCAUGAAUUCGAAGAUCAGAUUUUGAGCUUAGGAAGUUAUGAUAGAUUUGUUAGGAGUAUAUGAUUACAUAGUUUUUCAUUUGAAUUUUGCAUUGUAAGGACAUGUUUUCCGCUGUUUUUUUG
Molecule: long non-coding RNA, 566 nt
Filed under: Lactuca sativa (garden lettuce)
Lineage: Eukaryota; Viridiplantae; Streptophyta; Magnoliopsida; Asterales; Asteraceae
Description: long non-coding RNA (LSAT_LNC005674)
Source: RNAcentral